UACGAAGGGGGCUAGCGUUGUUCGGAAUUACUGGGCGUAAAGCGCACGUAGGCGGACAUUUAAGUUGGAGGUGAAAGCCUUGGGCUCAACCCAAGAAUUGCCUUUGAUACUGGAUGUCUCGAGACCGGGAGAGGUGAGUGGAAUUCCGAGUGUAGAGGUGAAAUUCGUAGAUAUUCGGAAGAACACCAGUGGCGAAGGCGGCUCACUGGCCCGGUUCUGACGCUGAGGUGCGAAAGCGUGGGGAGCGAACAGG
Molecule: ribosomal RNA, 253 nt
Filed under: uncultured bacterium
Lineage: Bacteria
Description: partial 16S ribosomal RNA
Rfam family: Bacterial small subunit ribosomal RNA
Source: RNAcentral